AGUGAACGCUGGCGGUAGGCCUAACACAUGCAAGUCGAACGGCAGCACAGUAAGAGCUUGCUCUUACGGGUGGCGAGUGGCGGACGGGUGAGGAAUACAUCGGAAUCUACUUUUUCGUGGGGGAUAACGUAGGGAAACUUACGCUAAUACCGCAUACGACCUACGGGUGAAAGCAGGGGAUCUUCGGACCUUGCGCGAUUGAAUGAGCCGAUGUCGGAUUAGCUGGUUGGCGGGGUAAAGGCCCACCAAGGCGACGAUCCGUAGCUGGUCUGAGAGGAUGAUCAGCCACACUGGAACUGAGACACGGUCCAGACUCCUACGGGAGGCAGCAGUGGGGAAUAUUGGACAAUGGGCGCAAGCCUGAUCCAGCCAUACCGCGUGGGUGAAGAAGGCCUUCGGGUUGUAAAGCCCUUUUGUUGGGAAAGAAAAGCAGCAGGUUAAUACCCCGCUGUUCUGGCGGUACCCAAAGAAUAAGCACCGGCUAACUUCGU
RNAcentral lists this ribosomal RNA (491 nucleotides) under uncultured bacterium. RNAcentral describes it as "partial 16S ribosomal RNA". It matches the Rfam family "Bacterial small subunit ribosomal RNA", at positions 29 to 506 of the family's 1533-position model. The record is from RNAcentral.